This 834-nucleotide ribosomal RNA is filed under the name uncultured Bacillus sp. RNAcentral describes it as "bacterial SSU rRNA". It matches the Rfam family "Bacterial small subunit ribosomal RNA", at positions 627 to 1459 of the family's 1533-position model. The record is from RNAcentral. Lineage: Bacteria; Bacillati; Bacillota; Bacilli; Caryophanales; Bacillaceae.
UGGAAACUGGGGAACUUGAGUGCAGAAGAGGAAAGUGGAANUCNACGUGUAGCGGUGAAAUGCGUAGAGAUGUGGAGGAACACCAGUGGCGAAGGCGACUUUCUGGUCUGUAACUGACACUGAGGCGCGAAAGCGUGGGGAGCGAACAGGAUUAGAUACCCUGGUAGUCCACGCCGUAAACGAUGAGUGCUAAGUGUUAGAGGGUUUCCGCCCUUUAGUGCUGCAGCUAACGCAUUAAGCACUCCGCCUGGGGAGUACGGCCGCAAGGCUGAAACUCAAAGGAAUUGACGGGGGCCCGCACAAGCGGUGGAGCAUGUGGUUUAAUUCGAAGCAACGCGAAGAACCUUACCAGGUCUUGACAUCCUCUGACAACCCUAGAGAUAGGGCUUUCCCCUUCGGGGGACAGAGUGACAGGUGGUGCAUGGUUGUCGUCAGCUCGUGUCGUGAGAUGUUGGGUUAAGUCCCGCAACNAGCGCAACCCUUGAUCUUAGUUGCCAGCAUUCAGUUGGGCACUCUAAGGUGACUGCCGGUGACAAACCGGAGGAAGGUGGGGAUGACGUCAAAUCAUCAUGCCCCUUAUGACCUGGGCUACACACGUGCUACAAUGGAUGGUACAAAGAGCCCGCAAACCCGCGAGGGCAAGCUAAUCUCAUAAAGCCAUUCUCAGUUCGGAUUGCAGGCUGCAACUCGCCUGCAUGAAGCCGGAAUCGCUAGUAAUCGCGGAUCAGCAUGCCGCGGNGAAUACGUUCCCGGGCCUUUGUACACNNCNNCCGUCACACCACGAGAGUUUGUAACACCCNANUCGGUGAGGUAACCUUUUGNACCAGCCGCCUA